Molecule: long non-coding RNA, 727 nt
Organism: Humulus lupulus (European hop)
Lineage: Eukaryota; Viridiplantae; Streptophyta; Magnoliopsida; Rosales; Cannabaceae
Exons: 3
Source: RefSeq, a predicted model, not a curated record
ACGUGUGAACCUAGUGGGAAAAGGAUUAUUUCUUUUUAAGUAAUAAAAUCAAAAUUUGAAGACACUAGUUAUUAUGGGAUAGGAAUGUGAUCACCUUAUUCUUUUAUAUCUAUUAUUAUAAAAGAAAAUAAAAAAAAAUUAAGAGAAAAUAAAAUGGAAAAAGGAAACUUACCAUUUUGUGUUGGUGAGGCUUUAUGAGAGAAUAAUGAUAAAGGGGGAAGGAAAGAGGAGAAGAGCCAUUUGCUCUUGUGGCUGCCGUGACCUAGAGAGAGAGAGAGAGAGAGUGGCGUGUAGAGAGAGAGGGAGAGGAAGAAAGAAAGAAAGAAAGAAGAAGAAGGUGAAGAGGAACCCAUCUUAGAGCUUGAACAAGGGUGUGAAGUUUGGGUGUUGAUCUUAUUGUGUUCUUGAUUUUACAAUCAAGAGAGGUAGCAAAUAGGAUUUCUUUAUGGCACGCGUGGUGACGUGAGGAGUUCUUUCAUCAUGGGGUGUAUGGCGUGGGGUAAUCCUAUGGACGGAACAACGAUCAACGUAGAACGCCAUUUUAAUUAUGUUUUGUUUUUAAGAGACUUUCCUAAAUUAUCAGUGGGACUCAGUUAUUUAAUUUUUGGUUUCUUUGAACUUUGCAUAAAAAUCUAUGUUUUAUUUUAAAACUUAUGGCGCCAACUUGCAUGGUUUUAAACAAGUCCCCCUGAGACUUUGAUAAUGAAUGGUAUUCUUUUAUAAACUA